UCGGACGGGUGAGUAACGCGUGAGAAUCUACCUUCAGGUCGGGGAUAACCCCUGGAAACGGGGGCUAAUACCGGAUAGGUCGAAAGAUGAAAGGUUAACUGCCGGAAGAGGAGCUCGCGUCUGAUUAGCUAGUAGGUGUGGUAAGAGCGCACCUAGGCGACGAUCAGUAGCUGGUCUGAGAGGAUGAGCAGCCACACUGGGACUGAGACACGGCCCAGACUCCUACGGGAGGCAGCAGUGGGGAAUUUUCCGCAAUGGGCGAAAGCCUGACGGAGCAAGACCGCGUGGGGGAGGAAGGCCUUUGGGUUGUAAACCCCUUUUGUUAGGGAAGAAAAAAAUGACGGUACCUAACGAAUCAGCCUCGGCUAACUCCGUGCCAGCAGCCGCGGUAAUACGGAGGAGGCAAGCGUUAUCCGGAAUUAUUGGGCGUAAAGCGUCCGUAGGUGGCCCGGCAAGUCUGCUGUCAAAGACCACAGCUCAACUGUGGAAAGGCAGUGGAAACUGCAAGGCUAGAGUGCGGUAGGGGUAGAGGGAAUUCCCAGUGUAGCGGUGAAAUGCGUAGAGAUUGGGAAGAACACCGGUGGCGAAAGCGCUCUACUGGGCCGCAAC
RNAcentral lists this ribosomal RNA (609 nucleotides) under Microcoleus sp. 15. Its description in RNAcentral is "bacterial SSU rRNA". It matches the Rfam family "Bacterial small subunit ribosomal RNA", at positions 98 to 740 of the family's 1533-position model. Lineage: Bacteria; Bacillati; Cyanobacteriota; Cyanophyceae; Oscillatoriales; Microcoleaceae. The record is from RNAcentral.